GGCACACAAGGUGUGUAUUCUCUACUUACAGGUUUUUGUUUGUUUUGGCUUUCAUCCACCUUAUCUUGGCUUACCAUAGUUUUUUGCCUUGGUUCUGGUGUGGACGCAACUAACCCUUAUUCGUAUUGAACCGUGAUUGCAUGAAGCUGUUCUCUUGGGUUAGUUUUCGUGUUGCUGGGUAAGCUACCUUCUGGUCUUUCUGAUAUCAGCUUGUCAAGCUGACCUAUUUGAGUCUUUAGACCUUGAAUCGA
RNAcentral lists this long non-coding RNA (251 nucleotides) under Gossypium barbadense (sea-island cotton). Its description in RNAcentral is "long non-coding RNA (GBAR_LNC000720)". Lineage: Eukaryota; Viridiplantae; Streptophyta; Magnoliopsida; Malvales; Malvaceae. The record is from RNAcentral.